Small nuclear RNA from Gorilla gorilla gorilla (western lowland gorilla), 99 nucleotides. NCBI's taxonomy places the organism in Eukaryota, Metazoa, Chordata, Mammalia, Primates, Hominidae. The record is from Ensembl.
GUGUUCCCUUUGGCAGUGCAUAUGCUAAAAUUGGAACAAUACAGAGAAGAUUAGCAUGGUACUAGCAAACCAAAUUCAACAGUAUGUUACAAGGAUUAU